GUGCUCGCUUCAGCAGCAUAUAUACUAAAAUUGGAACGAAACAGAGAUGAUUAGCAUGGCCCCUGUGCGAGGAUGACAUACAAAGACUACAGCUAGUGAAAUGAAAA
Suncus etruscus (white-toothed pygmy shrew) is the source of this 107-nucleotide small nuclear RNA. The record is from RefSeq and is a predicted model, not a curated record. Lineage: Eukaryota; Metazoa; Chordata; Mammalia; Eulipotyphla; Soricidae.